This 164-nucleotide ribosomal RNA is filed under the name uncultured bacterium. RNAcentral's name for it is "partial 16S ribosomal RNA". It matches the Rfam family "Bacterial small subunit ribosomal RNA", at positions 355 to 511 of the family's 1533-position model. The record is from RNAcentral.
UAGGGAAUCUUCCACAAUGGACGAAAGUCUGAUGGAGCAACGCCGCGUGAGUGAAGAAGGGUUUCGGCUCGUAAAACUCUGUUGUUAAAGAAGAACAUAUCUGAGAAUAACUGUUCAGGUAUUGACGGUAUUUAACCAGAAAGCCACGGCUAACUACGUGCCAG